RNAcentral lists this ribosomal RNA (374 nucleotides) under uncultured eukaryote. RNAcentral's name for it is "partial 18S ribosomal RNA". It matches the Rfam family "Eukaryotic small subunit ribosomal RNA", at positions 592 to 976 of the family's 1831-position model. The record is from RNAcentral.
CAAGAGCGUAUGUAAAAGUUGUUGCAGUUAAAAAGCUCGUAGUUGAACCUUGGGUUUGGUUGGCCGGUCCGCUUUUUUGCGAGUACUGGAUUCAACCGAGCCUUUCCUUCUGGCUAACCAGUCGUUUCGGCGGCUGGCGAACCAGGAUUUUUACUUUGAGAGAAUUAGAGUGUUCAAAGCAGGCAUUAGCUUGAAUAUAUUAGCAUGGAAUAAUAGAAUAGGACGUUAUGGUUCUAUUUUGUUGGUUUCUAGGACCAUCGUAAUGAUUAAUAGGGACGGUCGGGGGCAUCAGUAUUCAGUUGUCAGAGGUGAAAUUCUUGGAUUUACUGAAGACUAACUACUGCGAAAGCAUUUGCCAAGGACGUUUUCAUUAA